This 259-nucleotide ribosomal RNA is filed under the name uncultured bacterium. RNAcentral's name for it is "partial 16S ribosomal RNA". It matches the Rfam family "Bacterial small subunit ribosomal RNA", at positions 526 to 779 of the family's 1533-position model. The record is from RNAcentral.
CGUAGGGUGCGAGCGUUGUCCGGAAUUAUUGGGCGUAAAAGAGCUUGUAGGCGGUUUGUCGCGUCUGCUGUGAAAAAUCCCGGGGCUCAACCCCGGACUUGCAGUGGGUACGGGCAGACUAGAGUGUGGUAGGGAGACUGGAAUUCCUGGUGUAGCGGUGAAAUGCGACAGAUAUCAGGAGGAACACCGAUGGCGAAGGCAGGUCUCUGGGCCAGUUACUGACGCUGAGAAGCGAAAGCAAUGGGGAGCGAACAGGAUU